This 351-nucleotide unclassified non-coding RNA is filed under the name soil metagenome. RNAcentral's name for it is "partial contains 5.8S ribosomal RNA, internal transcribed spacer 2, and large subunit ribosomal RNA". The stretch from base 1 to 120 matches the Rfam family "5.8S ribosomal RNA", at positions 35 to 154 of the family's 154-position model. The record is from RNAcentral.
GAUGAAGAACGUAGUGAAACGCGAUAUGUAAUGUGAAUUGCAGAAUUCAGUGAAUCAUCGAAUCUUUGAACGCACAUGGCGCCUUCCAGUAUCCUGGGAGGCAUGCCUGUCCGAGCGUCGUUUCAACCCUCGAGCCCCCGUGGCCCGGCGUUGGGGAUCUGCCACGGCAGGCCCCUAAAACCAGUGGCGGACCCGAAGGCCCUCUCCUUUGCGCAGUAGCAUCAGCCUCGCAUUGGGAUCCCUCGGCGUCCUGCCUCUAAACCCCCCACAAGUCCGCUCCGGCGGCACCAAGGUUGACCUCGGAUAAGGUAGGAAUACCCGCUGAACUUAAGCAUAUCAAUAAGCGGAGGA